GAAUAGGAAUAAUACUCCAGCCAUUUUAAAUUAUUAUCACAAUAGUAAAAACUCGUAAAGAUUCACCACAUAAAUAUAGUGUUAGAACCAACUACGAUAUUUAAUUUUUAUUUAAAAUAAAGUAUUUUGGAUAUAUUAUAUUGUUCGUUCAAGUUAAAAAUGUUUGAGUUAGCAACCUAGAAAGGUUUUUUUAACGGUCGAGUCGGAAUGCUAGAUGACUGUGUGAACGG
RNAcentral lists this long non-coding RNA (230 nucleotides) under Setaria italica (foxtail millet). RNAcentral describes it as "long non-coding RNA (SITA_LNC006784)". The record is from RNAcentral. Lineage: Eukaryota; Viridiplantae; Streptophyta; Magnoliopsida; Poales; Poaceae.